This 1427-nucleotide ribosomal RNA is filed under the name Klebsiella pneumoniae. RNAcentral describes it as "bacterial SSU rRNA". It matches the Rfam family "Bacterial small subunit ribosomal RNA". Lineage: Bacteria; Pseudomonadati; Pseudomonadota; Gammaproteobacteria; Enterobacterales; Enterobacteriaceae. The record is from RNAcentral.
GUCGAGCGGGGCACCGAUAGCUUGCUCUCGGGUGACGAGCGGCGGACGGGUGAGUAAUGUCUGGGAAACUGCCUGAUGGAGGGGGAUAACUACUGGAAACGGUAGCUAAUACCGCAUAACGUCGCAAGACCAAAGUGGGGGACCUUCGGGCCUCAUGCCAUCAGAUGUGCCCAGAUGGGAUUAGCUAGUAGGUGGGGUAACGGCUCACCUAGGCGACGAUCCCUAGCUGGUCUGAGAGGAUGACCAGCCACACUGGAACUGAGACACGGUCCAGACUCCUACGGGAGGCAGCAGUGGGGAAUAUUGCACAAUGGGCGCAAGCCUGAUGCAGCCAUGCCGCGUGUGUGAAGAAGGCCUUCGGGUUGUAAAGCACUUUCAGCGGGGAGGAAGGCGUUAAGGUUAAUAACCUUGGCGAUUGACGUUACCCGCGAAGAAGCACCGGCUAACUCCGUGCCAGCAGCCGCGGUAAUACGGAGGGUGCAAGCGUUAAUCGGAAUUACUGGGCGUAAAGCGCACGCAGUCGGUCCGUCAAGUCGGAUGAGAAAUCUCUGGCUCAACGUGGGAACUGCAUUGAAACUGCAGGCUAGAGUCUUGUAGAGGGGGGGUAGAAUUACAGCUGCAGCCGCUGAAAUGCGUAGAGAUCUGGAGGAAUACCGGUGGCGAAGGCGUCCCCUUGGACAAAGACUGACGCUCAGGUGAGAAAGCGUGGGGAGCAAACAGGAUUAGAUACCCUGGUAGUACACGCCGUAAACGAUGUCGAUUUGGAGGUUGUCCCCUUGAGGCGUGGCUUCCGGAGAUAACGCGUUAAAUCGACCGCCUGGGGAGUACGCCCGCAAGGUUAAAACUCAAAUGAAUUGACGGGGGCCCCGCACAAGCGGUGGAGCAUGUGGUUUAAUUUGAUGCAACGCGAAGAACCUUACCUGGUCUUGACAUCCACAGAACUUACCAGAGAUGGAUUGGUGCCUUCGGGAACUGUGAGACAGGUGCUGCAUGGCUGUCGUCAGCUCGUGUUGUGAAAUGUUGGGUUAAGUCCCGCAACGAGCGCAACCCUUAUCCUUUGUUGCCAGCGGUUAGGCCGGGAACUCAAAGGAGACUGCCAGUGAUAAACUGGAGGAAGGUGGGGAUGACGUCAAGUCAUCAUGGCCCUUACGACCAGGGCUACACACGUGCUACAAUGGCAUAUACAAAGAGAAGCGACCUCGCGAGAGCAAGCGGACCUCAUAAAGUAUGUCGUAGUCCGGAUUGGAGUCUGCAACUCGACUCCAUGAAGUCGGAAUCGCUAGUAAUCGUAGAUCAGAAUGCUACGGUGAAUACGUUCCCGGGCCUUGUACACACCGCCCGUCACACCAUGGGAGUGGGUUGCAAAAGAGAGUAUGAUGAGCUUAAACCCUUUUGCUAAAGGGCCGAUGAUUCUAGGGCGCCCCGAC